This 465-nucleotide ribosomal RNA is filed under the name uncultured bacterium. RNAcentral describes it as "partial 16S ribosomal RNA". It matches the Rfam family "Bacterial small subunit ribosomal RNA", at positions 28 to 507 of the family's 1533-position model. The record is from RNAcentral.
GACGAACGCUGGCGGCGUGCUUAACACAUGCAAGUCGAACGAAAAGGCCCUGCUUGCAGGGUACUCGAGUGGCGAACGGGUGAGUAACACGUGGGUGAUCUGCCCUGCACUUCGGGAUAAGCCUGGGAAACUGGGUCUAAUACCGGAUAGGAGCCAUUUUUAGUGUGAUGGUUGGAAAGUUUUUUCGGUGUAGGAUGAGCUCGCGGCCUAUCAGCUUGUUGGUGGGGUAAUGGCCUACCAAGGCGGCGACGGGUAGCCGGCCUGAGAGGGUGGACGGCCACAUUGGGACUGAGAUACGGCCCAGACUCCUACGGGAGGCAGCAGGGGGGAAUAUUGCACAAUGGGCGCAAGCCUGAUGCAGCGACGCCGCGUGGGGGAUGACGGCCUUCGGGUUGUAAACUCCUUUCGCUAGGGACGAAGCUUUUUGUGACGGUACCUAGAUAAGAAGCACCGGCUAACUACGUG